Molecule: long non-coding RNA, 6238 nt
Organism: Taeniopygia guttata (zebra finch)
Lineage: Eukaryota; Metazoa; Chordata; Aves; Passeriformes; Estrildidae
Source: Ensembl
UUUUUUUUUUUUUUUUUAAUAAUUUCACAGAGAUAUUGUAUAUAGCUGAAAUGUUUGGUUUGGUUUUUUUGUUGGUUUUUUUUUUAAGAAUAAAAAACAAAACUGUAUUUUUCCAGUACAGUAAAUAAUGCAUAAAUUUUAUGUAAAUGUAGCUGUUUAAUUCAGCCCUUAGAGUGUCCUGGUAUAUUUUCAGCAUGUGCACAUCUCUUAAGUAUACUGUUUUCCUUGCUAUAAGGUUAAUAUUAGUUAGAAAUGGAGACCUGCUGGAGAUAACACCAAUUGCAGAUGAGCUUAGCUAAAAGCAAAAGCUACAGUCUCUCAGAUAAUACCACAAGACAGCUUGAAAGGCUAAUAUAUCAUGCAAAUGGUGGACUAGAAUCACUUAGGCAUGGAUGGUCUGUGGGCUGUACAGAAGGAGUGAAUCUUUCUGCAUUCAGCUGCGCGUGUGUGUGUGCACCUCGCUCCCCCUCCACCUGCUCCUCUCCCUCUGUCUCUCCCAGACAGGCGAACAGACCUGCUCCUUCCUUUGUGUUGCCAGUCAGGUCCUCCCUCUGCAGUCUUACACAGGAAGAAGAUUUAUAACAGCUGCAUGCAAUGCCAGUGUCUCAAAGAGACAGUAUCACGCCAUGUGGAGGAUUUUUGUUUGGGGUUUAAGUUUUCUCCACUGAAUUGGAAAGGUACAUUUUUAAAAUCCUAAAUAUUUUAAACACUUAAUUCCUGUAGCUUUUAUUUGCUGGUAAAUUCUGACCUCCAAAUCUUUAAAUCACAAUCUGUUGUCACAGUAUUGUAAUGGCUGUGAUGUCUUAAUUGAAAACAUGAGGAUGUAAGGAUUUCAAAAGUAUAAUUAGGGUACAUUUCAAUGUGAAGCUGUAAGUGUUGUUCCGUAAGAUGGGCAUCUGAUAUUUCUGACAUACUGUAUCAGAAAUAUAAGAUUCAAACUAAAAAAUGAAAAUACAGCACACAUGCAGUGCAACUGUGUACCAUAUGUUAAGAAAUGUGCACCUCUUAAACAUUGGACUAAUUAGCUAGAGAAAACAGAGAUGUCUGAAUAAUGAUGCUCGAAAUAAGAAGGAUAAUGAAAUCUUGAGACAGACUUGUGUAGGAGAUCCACCUGGCAGCAACUUGCCAGGUUUAGCAAAUUAAAUGAAAUCAAAGGAAAAUUUAUAGUUGUGAAAAAAUGAAUGUAAAAGCACUACUUCUCUUUGUUUUAAGCUCUUGGUGGCCUGCUUCUUACCUUCCUGAUUAGUGGCAUUUAUUAUAAUUAAUGGUGAGUGAAGCAUCAGAGUCAGAGAAGCCCAAAAGCUUAGACAUGUUCCCUAGGCUUGGAGAAAAUUUCUAUGAAAUUUGACAAGGGAUAGUUUCUUGGGGUAUCUUUCUUUCCAGGUACUAGGAAGAAUACAAAAUUAAAAUAAAUUUCCUUUUGGCAUUUCACCUCUUAGCCUCCCUACUUCUCAAAAAUUAAUAGACAAAGUUGAAUUAUUUGAUUUCAAGAAAUCCCUUAAAGGGCUAGCCCUUGUUAGUGUCUAGGUUCAAUAUAAAUAGCAGAUUCCUUUUUCAGAGGAUCAUACAAUCUGGAAAUAUAAACCCUGGAAAAAAAAAUCAGGAAUAGAGGCAGUUGCACUAUAAGAAGUAAAACAUUUGCAGCAGGCCAUGGUAGGGAAGAAUCUGUAUCUAGUUCUUCUAACUCAAAUACAUGCUCUAGUUUCCUUCUUCUACCCUGUUUUAUCUCAUCCCCUAAGCAGCAAAUCUAAACAUGUUGCUCAGGAUUUGCCUUAGGACUUCUCUUCCCAGGAUCAAUGAGCUCCAGAAGAGUGUUCACCAAAUUCACUUGCUGUUGAUUUUCAGUGGCAGGAGGUCCAAGACAUGCUUACUCUUCUAUUUGGAGAAAUAUAACCAAGAUUUAAUUCCACUAUUCACUCAUGCCUGAAAUAUUUCCUCUGGUUUUCUCAAAUGUUAGUAUGUCCACCCAGAACCUCUUUUGUUGCCUUUGAGAUCUACUAUUACCCAGUAUUUUCAUUACAACGCUUACUGUUGUUCCUCCUGAUAACCAGCGUCCUUGCCCUUCAACUUCUACAGCUAAUCCACUGGUAGUUUUGGUUGAUGGAGCCUGCAAAUGGGCUGACAUAAAGGAUUCCUGUCCCAGUCGCAUGUUAAGUUCAUAUGCUUACAGCUGUUUAAUCUGUAACACUAACUGUAUCCAUUCUAGUGUGCCAGGAAUAUAUAUAUAUUUAUAUAUAUACUAUAUUUACCCAGCUUGGAGUAACAUUAGCAAAAGUGCUAUGGCAUCAGGGAAUUGUCUGCUCCCUCACUACUAUACAAUUUGUUGUUGUUGUUGUUGUUUAAGGAAGCUUAGAGCUGAUAACAGAAAGGCUUCCACAGAAUGAGCUUGUAACCUAACAGCCUCCAGAAACUGUUCAUAGCUGUGGUCUGCUAUUUUGUUUUUAGUGUAGGACAUAAUUUUCUCCCCUGCUAAUUAAAUCUGAACUAUUCACAUUAAGUUCUUUCUGCAAAGUAAUCUAAUCCAACGCAUAAAUCUAUGCACACUAUUUACAUAUGAAAUGAAACCUCAACAUUUUUUAAGUUUACAUGUACACCAUGGUGGUUAGAUGUCAUUUUUGAUAUAGGAAACAGUAUUCAUACUUUCCCUUUUCCUCUCUGGUCCACUGAGGUUUACACUGACUAAAUAUGUCACAACUUUUGAGAACUUCUUGGGACAAGAUUCGGACAGCAUCUCAUUGAAAUCUGUACUGAAAAGGUGAUGGUGCUUCCUUGAGAAGUACCAAACACAGCAAACAACAAGGAGGGGCAGAGGCUAUACAAAAGGCUUCAGUGUGCAUGUACCUGUACAAAUACAGAGACACAAUGUCUAAGCAUGCAUUAAGCCUGUAUAGCCAUAAUGCUAUGUAAAGAGAGCUUGACUUCCAGCACUGGACCUCUGGUUAUGACACUGCUUGACAGCUAACAGACUUCGUUCUCCUCGGUUUGCCUGGUCUUAACUAGCACACUGCCAGACAAUGCCCAGUCACGGGGAUAGCAUUUGCAAGGAAUCUCUCCCAAUACCCAACAUCACCCUUGAUGGUUUCUCUGAAACUAUCUCUGAAGGUUUGGGACCUUGACACACACCUCCUCCCACACACACAACAUGCAGCAAAUUCUGUUCCAUAGUAGAAAACCUUCUGUGUUAAAAGCUGCAAUAUGACCCUCACAUUAUUUCAGACACUUUGUCCCCUUGGGGUGACACUCAAGGCCAAGUGUUAUGUAUUACGCCUGCAGCCAUUGUGUGCCAUUUAGCCUCGCAGCCAGAAAACAGCCCUUAGCCCUAUUUUAUCUAUUGAUGUAUAUAGCCAACAAGACUUUCUGAGUUAAAAGUUAGGGAACACUGAAUGAGUGCAGUGUUGAGCCAGGAGAAAAAAGGAAAACUAAACAAAUGGCCAAUGUCUCAUGUAUUUGUCAGCAAGGUUAAAAAAAAGGUACAGACCAUAUGAGAGAAAAAUGUUUGCUUCCCUCUGUGCCUCAAAGCACCAAAAUAUCUCAGUGGAAUAAACUGAGUUUUUCUACAGACUUGUCACACCACAACAAAAUGCUUAAUCUCCAGAGAAAUCACAGUCAGGCAGCUAAUGCUCAGUUGUCUAGGAGAAUAUUCAUGUUCAAGUACAAGAGUACAGUCAAAGAACAAAGACCUUCCCAUGCAGUUUAUGGUGAUGAAUGCAAUGAUAUAAGUUCCCUCUUUCAAUGUCAGAGAUAAAUAUGGUGUUUAGAAAGGGGAAAGAAAAAAACAACCACUUCACAACCUUAAACCUCAUCCUACAGGAAGUUUGGAUUAAAGUGUACUGAUUAAAUAUAUACAGCUGCAAGACCAUCAGUGAUGCCACCAAUGUGCUUUAUAUGAGAUAUGGAAAUAUUUAGCCAGUCUUAGUCUCAACUAGAGGAUGUGAGCUGAAUUUUGAGGCAACAAUAUAUGGGAAUGCAUAUAAUUCUAGAAAUUCCACAUAAGAAUAAAAUCUCUUAUGGCUCACAACAUGUAACAAGAAAUGCUAGCAAUGCUAUAGUGUUUGCAAAUAGGGUUUGUAAAAGAAAUGAAGCUGUGCAAUAGAAAGUUAUUGGCCCAUCAAACUAAACUAUUGAGACUGUAACCUCAGCAAGGACUUAGCUGAUUCCAAUCAUCAAAUGUACUGUUGGCAAUGACUGAUAUAGACACAGCAUUAAAAAUUGUGUUAGGUAAUGUCCAAAAGACAAAAUAUGUCGUAUGUACUGAUACAUACUUGAGAACAAAUAGUAUCAAAUACUACUAUACAAAACACUAUAGUAGCAUAUCAAUUCAGAAUACAACCCAGAAUGCUCAUAAAUAAAACUUCAACCCGUGUUCAUAAAACUGCUAAAAGUAGCAUCAUGCUCUUCAUGUUCUUCAUGUAGUUAAGACAUGUACAACAAUUGUGUUGUAGUCCCAUGAAAUCUGUAACUCACAGUUGCAGAGGUUAAAAAGUUCUUUUCGAAACAGCCACAGAUAAUAGUCAAAUACUCCUUCAUCAAGUCUGGGAAGUUUAAAAUUCCAUUCUUAUAAUCUAGAUGGUUCCAAUAUGUUAAAAUUGUUGAUAAAUCAGGGCAUUAUGCACUUUUGGAAAACAGCACCAAUGAAGAAUUCUUUCACAUAAAAAGAAAAAGAGUACACAAAACAAGUUUCUAUAAGUUUCAGAAAUAAAAGUUUGUGUUUUUUCUUUUAAUAAUGAUAUAAGAUACUUUAGGUUGGAAGGCACUUCAGGAAAGAUUUAGGGUAAAAUCUUGCUCUAAAUAGAGUUGCAUAGAGAUUUACACAACCUGGUCUUGAAAACAUCAAAGUAGAGUUUGUAUACCCUCUCUAAGUAACCUACUUCACUUAUUGGGUGUCCUCAUGCGUUAUACCCAGCUGGAAACAUUAUUUUUCUCAUUCAUGUCUAUAGUUUCUUGUUCUCUUGACAGGCAUCACAGGAAAACCUGUAACAGUCGUUUUAUAACCUCCUCCUAGGUAGUGGAAGGCUUCUGGACCCCUCAAAACUGUGUCUUCCUCAGACUGGAAAAUUCUAUUUCCUUCUUCAAGGGCUUUUGUUCCCUAAGUCUGUUGUCCAUUCAUCCCAUAGGUUCCUCCAAAUGGCAGCCUGCCCCUCAAGUCCUUCAGCUGUAGCCUCCAUAUGCAUUUCAUCUGAAAAUGAAAAUAUUGAUGAAAAUCACAUGGUUCCUCUGUUUCAGGUUCCCAGAAGUAUGUUCCUAGAGUAUUUGCUCUGGAUAUUUGCUAGGGAUUGAAGUAAGGCUGAGCUGUCUUUAGUUCUCUGGGUUGUCCUUUUGGAACCUUUAUAAAGUUUUAAUACAGCUUGUCAGACCUAUGAGUGUUUAUGAGUUGAGUUCUCAUAAGUAGUUUCUGACUUGAUCUUUAUCCACUGCUGUUCUUCCCUCUCUUCUCUCACAUUAAGCACACAGGCCUCAAAGAAUAAGACCCUGAGAACUUCUGCCUUACCAAUUGCUGAAGGCCACUGUUGCUGAAUCAGCCUUUUUAUUCAGCAAUCAGUGCAUACAUUUUCCUUUGUCAAGCUUUUAUCAGUAAUGUACAAGUUCUUCUUGUUGCCUUGAUGUCCCUGGCAAGCCUUGAUUCCAUUUGAGCUUUGGUUUCCCUGACACCAUCACUGCAUACUAAUGCAAUGUUUCAGAAAUUCCUCUGAAGCCUAUCCUUGCUUCCAUCUCCUUUAUGUUGCCUUUUCCAGUGGAUCUCUGUCUUGAGCUGGUCUAUUGAUAAAUGUACUUGAUUUCCUGACUAUCAGCAUGAACAUUCAUAGGCUCGAAAAGUGAUGUCCUUACAGACUUGCUAGAUUCCUUGAACUCAUUGGCUUGUCAGAGCUGCCUCCCAUAGAAUCCUACCUUUCAACUCCCCAGAUAAGCUGAAGUCUGCCCUCCUAAAGUACAGGCUCUUUACUGCACAGCUUGCCUUCCUCUGCCUCCUCAGGAUUUUGAACUCCACGGUUUUGGUGUCGUUACAGCCAUGGUUUCUAUUGAUUAUCAUAGUCCCAAAGAGCUGUUGCUAGCUAGUGAAUGCCAGAGUCACCGUGUUGGCCCUUCCAGUCUCUGUAUCAUGAGUUUACCUCAAAUACAAUCCAGAAGCCUCCUGGAUAGCUUGCUUCUCACCACAGUGUCCUUCCAACAUAUGUUAAAGUUCCUAUAAGAACCACCAUCAUAGGAUCCAAAGACUUUGUUGAAUGUUUUAAGUAAGCUU